AAAAAGUUUUUCUAUUAAAA
This 20-nucleotide transfer RNA is filed under the name Tylos sp. clade H MM-2013. RNAcentral describes it as "partial tRNA-Val". The record is from RNAcentral. Lineage: Eukaryota; Metazoa; Arthropoda; Malacostraca; Isopoda; Tylidae.